Molecule: ribosomal RNA, 478 nt
Filed under: uncultured bacterium
Lineage: Bacteria
Description: bacterial SSU rRNA
Rfam family: Bacterial small subunit ribosomal RNA
Source: RNAcentral
AGCGAACGCUGGCGGCAGGCUUAACACAUGCAAGUCGAGCGGGCGUAGCAAUACGUCAGCGGCAGACGGGUGAGUAACGCGUGGGAACGUACCUUUUGGUUCGGAACAACACAGGGAAACUUGUGCUAAUACCGGAUAAGCCCUUACGGGGAAAGAUUUAUCGCCGAAAGAUCGGCCCGCGUCUGAUUAGCUAGUUGGUGAGGUAACGGCUCACCAAGGCGACGAUCAGUAGCUGGUCUGAGAGGAUGAUCAGCCACAUUGGGACUGAGACACGGCCCAAACUCCUACGGGAGGCAGCAGUGGGGAAUAUUGGACAAUGGGGGGCAACCCUGAUCCAGCCAUGCCGCGUGAGUGAUGAAGGCCCUAGGGUUGUAAAGCUCUUUUGUACGGAACGAAAAGGCUCUGGUUAAUACCUGGGGCACAUGACGGUACCGUAAGAAUAAGCACCGGCUAACUACGUGCCAGCAGCCGCGGUAAU